UAAGGAAUAUUGCUCAAUGGGAGAAAUCCUGAAGCAGCAACGCCGCGUGGAGGAUGAAGGGUCUAUGACUUGUAAACUCCUGUAAAGAAGGAAAAAAUUCCCAUUAGAUGGGAGAUGAUGGUACUUCUGGAGUAAGCCCCGGCUAACUACGUGCCAGCAGCCGCGGUAAUACGUAGGGGGCAAGCGUUGUCCGGAUUUACUGGGUGUAAAGGGUGCUCAGGCGGAUUUGUAAGUCAGAGGUGAAAUCUUACAGCUUAACUGUGAAACUGCCUUUGAUACUGCAAGCCUAGAGUAUGGAAGAGAGUGAUGGAAUAUCUGGUGUAGCAGUGAAAUGCGUAGAUAUCAGAUAGAACACCAAUGGCGAAGGCAGUCACUUGGUCCAUUACUGACGCUAAAGCACGAAAGCGUGGGUA
Molecule: ribosomal RNA, 413 nt
Filed under: uncultured bacterium
Lineage: Bacteria
Description: bacterial SSU rRNA
Rfam family: Bacterial small subunit ribosomal RNA
Source: RNAcentral